GAGGGUGAUGCCUGCCCAAUGGUUGUAUCUAAAAGCGGUUGAUAAAAGUUGACCUCGUAAGGACAAUUGAAUGGCCGCGGUAACACUGACCGUGAUAAUGUAGCGUAAUCAAUAGCCAAUUAAUUGUUGGCCAGUAUGAAUGGCGCCACGAAGGCCCCACUGUCUUAAGGAAAUUCCCAGUGAAAUUGAAUUCGUAGUGAAGAUGCUACGUCCAAUUUGUUAGACGAAAAGACCCCGUUGAGCUUUACUGGAGCACUUACAUGGCCCCGGCCUUCCCAUGCCUGGGAACCGGCCGAAUUUAAAUGGGCGGCUUAGAUUAUGUGGCAGCCCCCCGCUGGGGCAAAUGAAACACCACUCCCCCAUGUCAAAGGGGCUAACCCCCCCCCUUGGGGGGACAGUGUAAGUAGGACAGUUUGGUUGGGGCGACCACCUUUUAAAAAGUAACGAAGGUGCGCUUAAGGUGCGCAAUUAAUGACUGAAGCCUGACUGCGAGGGGGACACCCC
Molecule: ribosomal RNA, 504 nt
Filed under: Zoanthus sociatus
Lineage: Eukaryota; Metazoa; Cnidaria; Anthozoa; Zoantharia; Zoanthidae
Description: partial 16S ribosomal RNA
Rfam family: Bacterial large subunit ribosomal RNA
Source: RNAcentral